CCCAACCUCUUCGAGUCCUCCGCGGGCUCCGCCCCACCCGGCUAGUGGGGGAGGUUCUGUCCCGCAGCCUUCGCGGGCGCGCUGCUCUCGGGGACGGUUCCUGCUCGCGUUGGGCGCACUAUGGCGCGCUGGGCUGCUGCUCCUCGGCCUGCUCCGCCCUCUGGUGGCCGCCCCUGGUGACCCAGCACCCCUUGAUCCCCCCAAACCAAAGCCAGAUCCAAACCCCAACUGACCUGGUUUCACUGGGGCUGACUUUGACUUAGCAGAUGCCUUUGGUGGUGGAGGAAACCGUGACCCAGCACCGCCUGAUCCCCCAAACCAAAGCCAGAUCCAAGCCCCAACCGACCUGGUUUCACUGAUAAGAGCCUCUAACCCUCCGGGUGGUCUCUAUGUCGUUUACCCGGCAGUGAUGUUCAUGUCAUCUGAGAAGAGGAGAUUUCAGGGGCUGACUUGGACUUCGCAGAUGCCUUUUAUGGUGGAGGAAAUCACAGUCACAAUUGCAACUCUCAUUGUCACAAAGAGAUGACCCAGCACCUCCUAAUUCACCCAAGCCGAAGCCAAAUGCAAACCCUAAGCAACCUGGAUUUAUUGUCAUUUGACACUCCUCUCUGUGUCAGUGUCUGAGGCACCCUGGGACCAUCCUGACUGGAAAGCACAGUGACAUUGCUGGCCUGAGCUGAAGUGCUGAUUAAAAUAAAUUGAAAGCUGAAUGACCUUAUGAAGAGCUGCUUUACCCAGGAACAAAUAUGGAGAGGAACUCCUUGCAACUGUGUUCUCAAGUAGACCACUUUUGAGAAAUUAUACAUUUAUCAUAACACCUCAAGUCCUGCUCUGCAUAGAAUGACCAUUAUUAUCAAGAAAAGUUCUCCAUUCCCUGUGAUUCAUAAGGAAGUGCAGGCCUAACCAGAAAACAGGAGCUGCGACAACCUUGGGUCAGACACAUUCAAUCUCUCUAUUCACAGUUGCAUUUUCUCUCUCUCUCUCUCUCUCUUUCUUUUUUUUUUUUUAACAAAGCCAAUUACCAAUAACUGGGAAAAACAAAAACAAAAACAAAAAAAAUGAACAUAUGGUUGAGCUGACUUCUGAGAAAGCUUCUGCAUUGUGAAUGUGAGGAUUCCACAUUUCUGAAGCACCUUUGCUCCUCCAGAAAGCGCCUCUCUAGUUUCGUGGUGAUACGGAGGGAAACGACAAUUGUCUGGAUUAUCAGGAUGGCCCAUUGUUCUCUGUGGUUCUCAAUCCAUGUGGACAUCCACCAUGACCAAGCUCUUUCUUUCUUUUCUCUCUUUCUUUCUCCUCUCUCCUUCCUUCCUUCCCCCUUCCCCUUCCCCUCCCCUCUUUCCCUUUCCUUUACCUUGUUUCUUGCUUGUUUCUUUCUCUCUUCCCUUCCCUCCUCUCCCCUCCUCCCUUUCUUCCCUCCCCUCCGUUUCUCUCCUCCCCUCCCCUCCUCCCUUUCUUCCCUCCCCUCCCUUUCUCCCCUCCCCUUCUCCCUUUCUUCCCUCCCCUCCCUUUGUCCCCUCCCCCCACCUCCCCCUUCCCCUCCCCUUCCUUCUCCCCUUCCUUUUCCCCUCUACUUCCCCCUCCACUCCCUUCCGCUCCCCUCCCCCUUCCCUUCUCUUUUCUUUUCCUUUCUUUUCUUUUUUUGAGACAGGAUAUCACUCUGUUGCCCAGACUGGAGUACAGUGAAGUGAUCGUGGCUCACUGUAGCCUCGACCUCCUGGGCUCAAGCCAUGCUCUUUCCUCAGCCUCCUGAGUAGCUGGGACUACACACACACACAACCAUGCCUGCCUACUUUUUUAAAUUUUUAUAUUUUUUUGAGACAGGGUUUCAUGCAGGUUUUCAUGCCCAGGCUAGAGUGCAGUGGUACAAUCUUUUGGCUCACUGCAACCUCUGCCUCCUGGGCUAAAGCGAUAUUCCUACCUUGGCCUCCCAAGUAGCUGCGACCACAGGCACUAGCCACCACAUUCGGCUAUUUGUUUAUUUUUUUUUAAAGACACAAGGUUUUACCAUGUUGUCCAGGCUGGUCUCAAACUCCUGAGCUCAAGCGAUACACGCGCGUCAGCCUCCCAAAGUGCUGGGAUCACAGGCAUGAACCACCGUGCCCAGCCUGGUUAAUGUUUAAAUGUUUCCUGGAGAUGGGGCUUCACUGUAGUGCAGGCUGGUCUUGAACUCCUGGGUUCAAGUGAUCCUCCCACACUCAGAGAUACUAUUUUCUUUUCUUGCUUUUUUUUUUUUUGAGAGGGGUCUUGCUCUUGUCCCCCAGGCUUGAGAGCAGUGGCUCGAUCUCAGCUCACUGCAACCUCCACCACCCAGGAUCAAACGACUCCCCUGCCUCUGCCUCCCAAGCAGCUCAACUUCAGCACCUCAUUCUUUGUCUAAGCCAAGUUUAGCCGAAGAAAACACCUGCCGAGAAGGUAAAAACAAAAACAUCUGCCAAAGGCAAGAACCCGGUGGGAAGCCCCCUGAGCCCAGGGGCCUGCAGAGUCUGUUCUGGUGACAAAGCAGGCAGUUGGAAGAGAGCAGGGCUGCGAGACAGCGUGGGUGGGUUUUAUCUGCUGCUUUUGGAAAUUCAUUGCAUGAUGCGUUUGUUUUUCAGAGGUCCCAAAGCAAAGAAACAAAAGCCCCGCAGAGUUCACCCAGAAGGAAAGCCUUCAUUGGAUCAGGCUAUAAGAGGACUCUCCCCUGAGAAAGAUACUUAUUUUGGCGCUGUGUUUAGAGAAAAGGGAAGAACGAUGGCUUUCCCGUAGAAACAUUUACUUAUUUCAUGAUUUGAAAAUGGACUUUUAUGUUUUAGGAAUUAUGUGGAUGGGAUGUUUUCUUGGGUGAUAGGAUUUGAAAUUGCAGAGGGGAGCAGGUGCCAUGUGCCAGCAAUGGCCGGCCAGUCUGCCUGCCUUCCUGCCUGCCUCCCUCCCUCCCUCCCUCCCUCCAUUUCUCCUUCCCCCCACCCCGUUUCUUCCUUCUUUCUCUCUGUGUUUCUUCUUUCUUUUCUUUUCUUCUUCCUCCCUCCCUCCCUCCCUCCCUUCCUUCCUCCCUCUCUCUCUCUCUCUUUCACUUUGUUUGUUUUAAUGAGAGUAGAGAGGAGGAAAAACACUUUUUUUUUUUUGAGACGGAGUCUCGCUCUGUCCCCCUGGCUGGAGUGCAAUGGCGCGAUCUCGGCUCACUGCAAGCUCCGCCUCCCGGGAUCAUGCCAUUCUCCUGCCUCAGUCUCCUGAGUAGCUGGGACUACAGGCGCCCGCCACCACGCCCAGCUAAUUUUUUUGUAUUUUUAGUAGAGACGGGGUUUCACCGUGUUAGCCAGGAUGGUCUCGAUCUCCUGACCUUGUGAUCCGCCCACCUCGGCCUCCCAAAGUGCUGGGAUUACAGGCGUGAGCCACCACGCCCAGCUGGAAAAACACUUUUUAUUUUUUGUCUACCUUUAUUGUAAGGAGAGAGUGAGAAUACCAUGCCACACAUGCAGGGUUCUGAGCAGAGGGCUACACCGUGCUUAGUUCUAAAGGCACCUACACUUUUAUCAUGAAAGCCAUGGAGAGGCCCACAUUUUGAAACACUCAGUCUCUCAGAAGAGGAUAGAAUGGGCUGCCAGUGUGAUAGGGAGAGAAAUUGAACAUAGCUGACUCCAUCUUGCUUCUGACUCCUCAAGCUAACUGCUCUUAGGCACUUCUGCACAUGGGCCAAGUUAAUCAUGGAAAGAACUUAGAUUACAGUUUAACUGGAAAGCAAGGAUGAUAAGAAUUCCUUUCCAAAACUAACCUCUGAGGAGAUAAGAAGGGCAUGCAUACAAGUAGCAAUGUUGUCUUGAAGAUUUGUAGGAGCACUGUGACCUGAGCAAGGACAAGGAAGUUUUGCAAUCUCCUUGGGCCCCUGCUGAUGCCCAAGUGUCUGUGGUCACCAGCCAACCCCCUCACCUCAGCCUCCUCCUUGUUCCCCCUUCUCAAUGUACAAAGAAGUUUGAGAUUCAUGCCUUUAAAAAUGGUUCCUUAGGACAUGGGUCCAGUAUCUUCCUGACUGGCUGGCUCUCCAAAUAAAGAUGCUUUUCUUUUUCUAACUUCUUGUCUCUCGAAUGAUUGGCUGUUAUGCAGCGAACCUCAGGAACUUUGGACUCCACAGCACUAGGACCACUCUCAGGACUUCCAGUCUGUACUGGGUGCAGGAAUCACUGGGGAGUCGGACUGAAAUGCAGGAAUCACUGGGGAGUCGGACUGAAAUGCGGGAAUCACUGGGGAGUCGGACUGAAAUGCGGGAAUCACUGGGGAGUCGGACUGAAAUGCGGGAAUCACUGGGGAGUCGGACUGAAAUGCGGGAAUCACUGGGGAGUCGGACUGAAAUGCGGGAAUCACUGGGGAGUCGGACUGAAAUGCGGGAAUCACUGGGGAGUCGGACUGAAAUGCGGGAAUCACUGGGGAGUCGGACUGAAAUGCGGGAAUCACUGGGGAGUCGGACUGAAAUGCGGAAAUCACUGGGGAGUCGGACUGAAAUGCGGGAAUCACUGGGGAGUCGGACUGAAAUGCGGGAAUCACUGGGGAGUCGGACUGAAAUGCAGACUCUGAUUAAGGAGGCCUGGGACACGAGGCCUGAGAUUCUGCAUCUCCAGUAAGCACCCAGGGGAUGUUGCUGCUGCUGAUCCAGGGACCACACCUUGGAGAGCAACGCUGAGAAGCUGGCGGAAGAGCCCCGGCUGAUGAGGAUCUGAACAUUGUCCGUAGCAGGGAGGCUGGGAAAAUGAGAUAAAAAUGUUAAAAAUGGCAGAGUCACCUUCCUGGAGAAGAAAUGGCUUUUCCAUUCCUUAUUACGCUCAUGUCUUUGCAACUAGCCCCCAGUGGUCUCCUUCCUGCUAUAUACCUGCAGUUACCGUGUUCUUGUUAAGGAAGAAUUGCAAAUGAAAAAAAAAAAAAAGACGCGGUGGCUCAAGCCUGUAAUCCCAGCACUUUGGGAGGCCGAGACGGGCGGAUCACGAGGUCAGGAGAUCGAGACCAUCCUGGCUAACACGGUGAAACCCCGUCUCUACUAAAAAAUACAAAAAACUAGCCGGGCGAGGUGGCGGGCGCCUGUAGUCCCAGCCACUCGGGAGGCUGAGGCAGGAGAAUGGUCUAAACCCGGGAGGCGGAGCUUGCAGUGAGCUGAGAUCCGGCCACUGCACCCCAGCCUGGGCGACAGAGCAAGACUCUGUCUCAAAAAAAAAAAAAGAAAAAAAAAAGAAAAAAAAAAAAAGGAAGUUGAUCAUGUUUGGUUGCUUUUGGUCAUGUUUGGUCAUCACAAUAAGCAAAUAAAAUCUGAAAUU
Molecule: long non-coding RNA, 5276 nt
Filed under: Macaca mulatta (Rhesus monkey)
Lineage: Eukaryota; Metazoa; Chordata; Mammalia; Primates; Cercopithecidae
Description: lncRNA (ENSMMUG00000049736.1)
Source: RNAcentral